This 388-nucleotide ribosomal RNA is filed under the name Acanthodactylus grandis (giant fringe-fingered lizard). Its description in RNAcentral is "partial 12S ribosomal RNA". It matches the Rfam family "Bacterial small subunit ribosomal RNA", at positions 794 to 1384 of the family's 1533-position model. The record is from RNAcentral. Lineage: Eukaryota; Metazoa; Chordata; Lepidosauria; Squamata; Lacertidae.
GCUAAGCCCUAAACAUUGAUAGCUCAGCUACCUCGCUAUCCGCCAGAGAACUACUAGUGAAAAACUUAAAACUCAAAGGACUUGGCGGUGUCCCAUUUCGACCUAGAGGAGCCUGUCCUAUAAUCGAUACCCCCCGUUUAACCUAACCUUAGCUCGCACGCUCAGCCUAUAUACCGCCGUCGCCAGUCUACCCCAUGAGGGUCCAUUAGUAGACUCAACAGCAGUCACUCGCUAACACGUCAGGUCAAGGUGUAGCAAAUGCUAAGGCAGUGAUUGGCUACAUUAUUUGUCACAAAACAAACGAAAUGCAGCAUGAAACACUGCACGAAGGUGAAUUUAGUAGUAAAGUGAAUAAGAGAGUUCACUUUAACACCGCUCUGGGACGCGC